RNAcentral lists this ribosomal RNA (411 nucleotides) under Triticum aestivum (bread wheat). RNAcentral's name for it is "partial small subunit ribosomal RNA". Lineage: Eukaryota; Viridiplantae; Streptophyta; Magnoliopsida; Poales; Poaceae. The record is from RNAcentral.
AUGCCCCUGGCCGACCGGAUCCGCGACCAUCUCGGCGUCUCCUUCCCGCGCAUCAACCUCGACGGCCUCGUGCCGCCCGCCCCUGCCCGCUCCCAGACCCAGCCGAUGAGGGAGAGGGAGGCCGCCGCGGUGGGGGGCAGCCUCACGGCGGAGGAGGCGCGGAAGGUGCUGCGCGCCACGCAGAUGGAGGCGGCGCGCGCGCGGGUGCGUGCGUCCCGCGAGGGCACCGCGCCCUACGCCGAGUUCCUGCGCCUCUGCUGCGACGCCGCGGGCGCGGACGACGGGCCCUCCGUCGCGCGCGCGCUCGACGAGUCCGGAUCCGUCAUCGUGCUCGGCAGGACCGUCUUCCUCAGGCCCGAAAUGGGCUGCAGGCUAGAUUUGAGACUGAGAGUGCGAGACUGGGGAGGCUGA